UUUUGUAUUUAAAACCCACACUUUAAUAACUUUUAAAUCAUACAUUAUGAUAAAAAUAAAGAUCACUUUCAACAACGGAUCUCUUGGCUCUCGCAUCGAUGAAGAACGUAGCGAAGUGCGAUAAGUAAUGUGAAUUGCAGAAUUCCGUGAGUCAUCGAAUCUUUGAACGCAAAUUGCACUCUCUGGUAUUCCGGGGAGUAUGCCUGUUUGAGGGUCAGUUUAAAUAAAAAUCGAUGUGUCGCUUUUGUGACGCUUCGGAAUUGGGUCACCUUGAUCUCUGGAUUAAGAGGCCUAAAAUUGAUACCUUUCCGAGCAUCUUGGACGUACGUAACCUCUCAAGUGCCGGAUCUUUUACUAGGUAUGACCAUGCUGUGCGUGGCCUCGUAUCUAUAACGUGUAUUCAUAUUUUGACCUCAAAUCAGGUAGGAACACCCGCUGAACUUAAGCAUAUCAAUAAGCGGAGGAAAAGAAAAUAACAAUGAUUCCCCUAGUAACUGCGAGUGAAGAGGGACAAGCUCAAAUUUUAAAUCUGUUAGGUUAUUACCUGACCGAGUUGUAAUUUGAAGAGGCGAUUUCCGCGUUUUUUGAUCAGUCCAAGUCCUUUGGGAUAAGGCAUCAUGGAGGGUGAGAAUCCCGCUCGGCUGAUCAGAAUUCGUUUACGAUCCGUCCUCAAGAGUCAAGUUGUUUGGGAUUGCAGCU
This 699-nucleotide ribosomal RNA is filed under the name uncultured fungus. RNAcentral's name for it is "eukaryotic LSU rRNA". The stretch from base 409 to 699 matches the Rfam family "Eukaryotic large subunit ribosomal RNA", at positions 1 to 287 of the family's 3401-position model. The record is from RNAcentral. Lineage: Eukaryota; Fungi.